AUUUGGCGGAGAGGUCGUCCUCUUUGGAGAUGCUAAGUUGGCUACCCAGAUGUUCGAAUUUUUUGACAUUUUCCCCUCAAUCUCGCUCUUUCUUUCGUUUGGAAGUUGAGCGCUAAAGAUGAUCAGAUCGCCCUGAAUGGCUGUGAUUGUUGAAGAUACGAUAACACGCGCUUGUAAUCAACGCUUUCGAUGUCGGCGACUUUCGCACCGCUUCCUCCCUCUU
Long non-coding RNA from Zingiber officinale, 223 nucleotides. RefSeq lists it as uncharacterized. The transcript is spliced from 3 exons. The record is from RefSeq and is a predicted model, not a curated record. NCBI's taxonomy places the organism in Eukaryota, Viridiplantae, Streptophyta, Magnoliopsida, Zingiberales, Zingiberaceae.